UCGCACCUAACCUGUUGAUUCUCUGAACACAGGUGUGUACUGGCUCAAAUACGGCAGACGACCCUGUACCAGCACUGCACUAACAAAGUGGAAAACUGACUGUUCCCUACUGUUAGCACUUUUCUACCAAAGCUGACUUGUAUAUUUUCUUUUUAUUUACAGUUAUAGAUGACUCCUGUCAGUAAGAAUACUUACUCCCGCUGUUAUGCUGCUCCUCACACACACACGCAUGCACGCACACAAACACACACACACACACACACACACAGCCUGUUAUAGUACACACACACACACAGAGCCUGUUAUAGUACACACACACACACCCACCCACAGAGCCUGUUAUAGUACACACACACACACCCACCCACAGAGCCUGUUAUAGUACACACACACACACACACACACACACACACACACACAGAGCCUGUUAUAGUACUGCUACACGCACACACACACACACACACACACACACACACACACACACACACACACACACACACACACACACAGCCUGUUAUAGUACACACACACACACACACACACAAACACACACACACAGAGCCUGUUAUAGUACUGCUACACGCACACACACGCACACACACGAUCAGCAUCCCUAGACCCCAAAACCAACCGUCGCGCACACCCCAAACGUGUGAUCACGUUUAGAGUGUAAAUGAAUCUAGAUGAUAUUUACCUUGGUGCCCCUGCGCAUCAGCCCAGUUCAACCCGUGCGGUUUCUCGUAGCACUUGGCGCGCGGAUUCCUCAAACAUUACAACUGUCAGCUAUCCUGAAACCUUUGAAGUUUGUAGGUGAAGUGUUGUCGCCGCUGCCAACUAAAUGACCCCAUGAAGACGGGGACACCAGUGUUACAUUCUAUUAAGGUGAAGGCUGCAUGGGAGGUGAUUGGCCUGGAUUUAAUUGGCCCACUGCGAGAAACUGGUCAAAAAAACAAGUAUGUGUUGACCAUGACUGAUUUAUAUACAAAGUGGGUUGUUGCUGAGCCACUGCAAAAUAAGACUGCAACUGAAGUGUCAGCAGCCAUCAUAAAGACACUCUACUUGUUCGGCAUGGUCAAGAAAAUUAUUACUGACCAAGGGAGAGA
Astyanax mexicanus (Mexican tetra) is the source of this 1103-nucleotide long non-coding RNA. RefSeq lists it as uncharacterized. The record is from RefSeq and is a predicted model, not a curated record. Lineage: Eukaryota; Metazoa; Chordata; Actinopteri; Characiformes; Acestrorhamphidae. The transcript is spliced from 3 exons.